UACAGAGGUCUCAAGCGUUGUUCGGAUUCAUUGGGCGUAAAGGGCUCGUAGGCGGUUUGUCGCGUCGGGAGUGAAAACACCGGGCUUAACUCGGUGCUUGCUUUCGAUACGGGCAGACUGGAGGUAUGCAGGGGAGAACGGAAUUCCUGGUGUAGCGGUGAAAUGCGCAGAUAUCAGGAGGAACACCGGUGGCGAAGGCGGUUCUCUGGGCAUUACCUGACGCUGAGGAGCGAAAGUGUGGGGAGCGAACAGG
This 253-nucleotide ribosomal RNA is filed under the name uncultured bacterium. Its description in RNAcentral is "partial 16S ribosomal RNA". It matches the Rfam family "Bacterial small subunit ribosomal RNA", at positions 524 to 776 of the family's 1533-position model. The record is from RNAcentral.